CUUAUCAAGAGUGGCAGAGGGGACAGGCCCUGUGAAGCCCGACAACCUGCGCGUGACCCGCGUAAGGUGCCAAAUCCUGCGGGAAACCGGAAGAUAAGA
Molecule: non-coding RNA, 99 nt
Filed under: Candidatus Faecalibacterium intestinipullorum
Lineage: Bacteria; Bacillati; Bacillota; Clostridia; Eubacteriales; Oscillospiraceae
Description: SAM riboswitch (S box leader)
Rfam family: SAM riboswitch aptamer (S box leader)
About the family: The SAM riboswitch is found upstream of a number of genes which code for proteins involved in methionine or cysteine biosynthesis in Gram-positive bacteria. The SAM riboswitch acts at the level of transcription termination control.
Source: RNAcentral